This 918-nucleotide long non-coding RNA is filed under the name Anser brachyrhynchus (Pink-footed goose). RNAcentral's name for it is "lncRNA (ENSABRG00000010341.1)". The record is from RNAcentral. Lineage: Eukaryota; Metazoa; Chordata; Aves; Anseriformes; Anatidae.
AUGCAUUUCCAUUUUGAUUAUAUGCUCGGGAAGGCAUGUGGCAGCACAUCCCUGGCCUCAGAUAACAGGGGCAGCACAGCUCGUGAGGAGGAGCGCUUGGCGGCAAAGCAUUGGCAGGGCAGAGGGACAGCGGUGAGGGCUGCUCCCAGCCCCAAGCCCUCACCAACCAGCCCUGAGUCAUGCUCUGACAAAUGUCAAGACCUCUUUCUCACGUUGCCAUCUCAUUUCGGCACCAAGGGUGGUCAGAAAAUGAAGCUAGAGCUGCAAGGGCUGGCAGAAGGCACCGUGGUGGUGAGCUUGAUGCUUCUCCAGGGCCCUGCCCGAGGCGCUCGCAGAGCGAUGCUCGCUGGCCAGCUGGCUGCCCACAGCCAGAGAGUUUCCCAGAAAUGGAGACCUCAGUGCUCCCCGCAGCAGCCUCCCCACCAUACUUGUGCUGAGGCAGUCGCAUCUUCUCAGUGCUGUGGUCGGGAGGCAUGCGUGGGCUCGUGCGGGUCGGUGACACAUGGAAACGUGCUGCUGCGAACCUCGGAGCUGCUGCUGUUCCUCAUGAUGCCCAUCUCGGCGAGGGAGCUCUGCAGAUCACAGAAGCUCAGCAGUCCUUCCUGUCCCAGCCUCAUCGAUCCGAUGCAGCGGCUAUGGAAGAAGAGCAGGGAGGCACAGGAGAGCCUGCACAUCGCAGCAAAACUCUGGUUACCUGGAAGAGCCAGGCAGCAGCAGACUGGUUCACGGGCGAAUCUUUCCUGCUGUAUCAAGCAUAAAUUAAUCAGCUUGCGAGAAAAAAAAAUGCCAACUUUCCAGAGGCAGACCCGUGCAGCUAAUGGCAGCCUUGUGAGCAGGAGGGAGGACACAACUACUGCCUGGCCAAAUAGGAGCACACCAUCGGCACAGCUGGUGGGCAGGAUGUGGACCAGCUCGUGA